CCUACGGGAGGCAGCAGUGGGGAAUUUUGGACAAUGGGCGAAAGCCUGAUCCAGCCAUUCCGCGUGAGUGAAGAAGGCCUUCGGGUUGUAAAGCUCUUUCGCAAGGGAAGAAAACUUAGAUACUAAUAUUAUCUGAGGUUGACGGUACCUUGAUAAGAAGCACCGGCUAACUACGUGCCAGCAGCCGCGGUAAUACGUAGGGUGCGAGCGUUAAUCGGAAUUACUGGGCGUAAAGCGUGCGCAGGCGGUUUUUGUAAGUCAGAUGUGAAAUCCCCGAGCUCAACUUGGGAACUGCGUUUGAAACUACAAGACUAGAAUAUGUCAGAGGGGGGUAGAAUUCCACGUGUAGCAGUGAAAUGCGUAGAGAUGUGGAGGAAUACCAAUGGCGAAGGCAGCCCCCUGGGAUAAUAUUGACGCUCAUGCACGAAAGCGUGGGGAGCAAACAGGAUUAGAUACCCUGGUAGUCCACGCCCUAAACGAUGUCUACUAGUUGUUGGUGGAGUAAAAUCCAUGAGUAACGCAGCUAACGCGUGAAGUAGACCGCCUGGGGAGUACGGUCGCAAGNUUAAAACUUNAAAGGAAUUGACCGGCNGNGAGNGCGACGACGACGACGAGGAGGAGG
This 622-nucleotide ribosomal RNA is filed under the name uncultured bacterium. RNAcentral describes it as "bacterial SSU rRNA". It matches the Rfam family "Bacterial small subunit ribosomal RNA", at positions 338 to 1363 of the family's 1533-position model. The record is from RNAcentral.